Molecule: ribosomal RNA, 2931 nt
Filed under: Escherichia coli
Lineage: Bacteria; Pseudomonadati; Pseudomonadota; Gammaproteobacteria; Enterobacterales; Enterobacteriaceae
Description: 23S ribosomal RNA
Rfam family: Bacterial large subunit ribosomal RNA
Source: RNAcentral
GGGUUGUGAGGUUAAGCGACUAAGCGUACACGGUGGAUGCCCUGGCAGUCAGAGGCGAUGAAGGACGUGCUAAUCUGCGAUAAGCGUCGGUAAGGUGAUAUGAACCGUUAUAACCGGCGAUUUCCGAAUGGGGAAACCCAGUGUGAUUCGUCACACUAUCAUUAACUGAAUCCAUAGGUUAAUGAGGCGAACCGGGGGAACUGAAACAUCUAAGUACCCCGAGGAAAAGAAAUCAACCGAGAUUCCCCCAGUAGCGGCGAGCGAACGGGGAGCAGCCCAGAGCCUGAAUCAGUGUGUGUGUUAGUGGAAGCGUCUGGAAAGGCGCGCGAUACAGGGUGACAGCCCCGUACACAAAAAUGCACAUGCUGUGAGCUCGAUGAGUAGGGCGGGACACGUGGUAUCCUGUCUGAAUAUGGGGGGACCAUCCUCCAAGGCUAAAUACUCCUGACUGACCGAUAGUGAACCAGUACCGUGAGGGAAAGGCGAAAAGAACCCCGGCGAGGGGAGUGAAAAAGAACCUGAAACCGUGUACGUACAAGCAGUGGGAGCACGCUUAGGCGUGUGACUGCGUACCUUUUGUAUAAUGGGUCAGCGACUUAUAUUCUGUAGCAAGGUUAACCGAAUAGGGGAGCCGAAGGGAAACCGAGUCUUAACUGGGCGUUAAGUUGCAGGGUAUAGACCCGAAACCCGGUGAUCUAGCCAUGGGCAGGUUGAAGGUUGGGUAACACUAACUGGAGGACCGAACCGACUAAUGUUGAAAAAUUAGCGGAUGACUUGUGGCUGGGGGUGAAAGGCCAAUCAAACCGGGAGAUAGCUGGUUCUCCCCGAAAGCUAUUUAGGUAGCGCCUCGUGAAUUCAUCUCCGGGGGUAGAGCACUGUUUCGGCAAGGGGGUCAUCCCGACUUACCAACCCGAUGCAAACUGCGAAUACCGGAGAAUGUUAUCACGGGAGACACACGGCGGGUGCUAACGUCCGUCGUGAAGAGGGAAACAACCCAGACCGCCAGCUAAGGUCCCAAAGUCAUGGUUAAGUGGGAAACGAUGUGGGAAGGCCCAGACAGCCAGGAUGUUGGCUUAGAAGCAGCCAUCAUUUAAAGAAAGCGUAAUAGCUCACUGGUCGAGUCGGCCUGCGCGGAAGAUGUAACGGGGCUAAACCAUGCACCGAAGCUGCGGCAGCGACGCUUAUGCGUUGUUGGGUAGGGGAGCGUUCUGUAAGCCUGUGAAGGUGUGCUGUGAGGCAUGCUGGAGGUAUCAGAAGUGCGAAUGCUGACAUAAGUAACGAUAAAGCGGGUGAAAAGCCCGCUCGCCGGAAGACCAAGGGUUCCUGUCCAACGUUAAUCGGGGCAGGGUGAGUCGACCCCUAAGGCGAGGCCGAAAGGCGUAGUCGAUGGGAAACAGGUUAAUAUUCCUGUACUUGGUGUUACUGCGAAGGGGGGACGGAGAAGGCUAUGUUGGCCGGGCGACGGUUGUCCCGGUUUAAGCGUGUAGGCUGGUUUUCCAGGCAAAUCCGGAAAAUCAAGGCUGAGGCGUGAUGACGAGGCACUACGGUGCUGAAGCAACAAAUGCCCUGCUUCCAGGAAAAGCCUCUAAGCAUCAGGUAACAUCAAAUCGUACCCCAAACCGACACAGGUGGUCAGGUAGAGAAUACCAAGGCGCUUGAGAGAACUCGGGUGAAGGAACUAGGCAAAAUGGUGCCGUAACUUCGGGAGAAGGCACGCUGAUAUGUAGGUGAAGUCCCUCGCGGAUGGAGCUGAAAUCAGUCGAAGAUACCAGCUGGCUGCAACUGUUUAUUAAAAACACAGCACUGUGCAAACACGAAAGUGGACGUAUACGGUGUGACGCCUGCCCGGUGCCGGAAGGUUAAUUGAUGGGGUCAGCGCAAGCGAAGCUCUUGAUCGAAGCCCCGGUAAACGGCGGCCGUAACUAUAACGGUCCUAAGGUAGCGAAAUUCCUUGUCGGGUAAGUUCCGACCUGCACGAAUGGCGUAAUGAUGGCCAGGCUGUCUCCACCCGAGACUCAGUGAAAUUGAACUCGCUGUGAAGAUGCAGUGUACCCGCGGCAAGACGGAAAGACCCCGUGAACCUUUACUAUAGCUUGACACUGAACAUUGAGCCUUGAUGUGUAGGAUAGGUGGGAGGCUUGGAAGUGUGGACGCCAGUCUGCAUGGAGCCGACCUUGAAAUACCACCCUUUAAUGUUUGAUGUUCUAACGUUGACCCGUGAUCCGGGUUGCGGACAGUGUCUGGUGGGUAGUUUGACUGGGGCGGUCUCCUCCUAAAGAGUAACGGAGGAGCACGAAGGUUGGCUAAUCCUGGUCGGACAUCAGGAGGUUAGUGCAAUGGCAUAAGCCAGCUUGACUGCGAGCGUGACGGCGCGAGCAGGUGCGAAAGCAGGUCAUAGUGAUCCGGUGGUUCUGAAUGGAAGGGCCAUCGCUCAACGGAUAAAAGGUACUCCGGGGAUAACAGGCUGAUACCGCCCAAGAGUUCAUAUCGACGGCGGUGUUUGGCACCUCGAUGUCGGCUCAUCACAUCCUGGGGCUGAAGUAGGUCCCAAGGGUAUGGCUGUUCGCCAUUUAAAGUGGUACGCGAGCUGGGUUUAGAACGUCGUGAGACAGUUCGGUCCCUAUCUGCCGUGGGCGCUGGAGAACUGAGGGGGGCUGCUCCUAGUACGAGAGGACCGGAGUGGACGCAUCACUGGUGUUCGGGUUGUCAUGCCAAUGGCACUGCCCGGUAGCUAAAUGCGGAAGAGAUAAGUGCUGAAAGCAUCUAAGCACGAAACUUGCCCCGAGAUGAGUUCUCCCUGACUCCUUGAGAGUCCUGAAGGAACGUUGAAGACGACGACGUUGAUAGGCCGGGUGUGUAAGCGCAGCGAUGCGUUGAGCUAACCGGUACUAAUGAACCGUGAGGCUUAACCUUACAACGCCGAAGGUGUUU